CCUACGGGGGGCAGCAGUGGGGAAUAUUGCACAAUGGGGGGAACCCUGAUGCAGCGACGCCGCGUGGGUGAGGAAGUACUUCGGUAUGUAAAGCCCUAUCAGCAGGGAAGAAAAUGACGGUACCUGACUAAGAAGCCCCGGCUAACUACGUGCCAGCAGCCGCGGUAAUACGUAGGGGGCAAGCGUUAUCCGGAUUUACUGGGUGUAAAGGGAGCGUAGACGGCGUGCCAAGUCUGAUGUGAAAGGCCGGGGCUCAACCCCGGGACUGCAUUGGAAACUGGCAUGCUGGAGUGCCGGAGGGGCAA
This 305-nucleotide ribosomal RNA is filed under the name uncultured bacterium. RNAcentral describes it as "bacterial SSU rRNA". It matches the Rfam family "Bacterial small subunit ribosomal RNA", at positions 338 to 660 of the family's 1533-position model. The record is from RNAcentral.